RNAcentral lists this long non-coding RNA (374 nucleotides) under Olea europaea subsp. europaea. Lineage: Eukaryota; Viridiplantae; Streptophyta; Magnoliopsida; Lamiales; Oleaceae. The record is from RNAcentral.
GCCGUUUCCAUUUCAAAGAAUUCCUGACGAUGCAAAGAGAUGUGCAUCAAACAUGGACGCUCAAAAUUCGAUCCAAAGCCAACAACUUCCAUUUCCAUUUCCAUUUCAAUCACAAUUCAUCACAAACUAUUCGCAAGUUUUUCGAAUUUUCAAUCGAGCUUAAGCUCCGCCCAUUUCUUUUCAAAUUAAAAUCCGAACCCAGAUCGUCAUUUUCCUGGAAAAGAAGAUCUUUCAAGACUAGAUCACUUCAAUUUUUGCAGAAUCUUGGCAUUCCGAUUACAAAAAACAAAGGCAUUGUAGCCAGAAGGAGAUCUCGUAUCACGACCCUAAAAUGGUGUGCUCGUAAGGUAUGUUCUACCCUGGUUUCAAGUAUU